CGGCGAUGAAGCGGCAAAAGCUCAAAUUUGAAAUCUGGCGUCUUUGGCGUCCGAGUUGUAAUUUGAAGAAGGUAUCUUUGGGCCCGGCUCUUGUCUAUGUUCCUUGGAACAGGACGUCACAGAGGGUGAGAAUCCCGUGCGAUGAGAUGACCCGGGUCUGUGUAAAGUUCCUUCGACGAGUCGAGUUGUUUGGGAAUGCAGCUCUAAGUGGGUGGUAAAUUCCAUCUAAAGCUAAAUAUUGGCGAGAGACCGAUAGCGAACAAGUACAGUGAUGGAAAGAUGAAAAGAACUUUGAAAAGAGAGUGAAAAAGUACGUGAAAUUGUUGAAAGGGAAGGGCUUGAGAUCAGACUUGGUAUUUUGCAUGCUGCUCUCUCGGGGGCGGCCGCUGCGGUUUACCGGGCCAGCAUCGGUUUGGAGCGGCAGGAUAAUGGCGGAGGAAUGUGGCACGGCUUCUGCUGUGUGUUAUAGCCUCUGACGAUACUGCCAGCCUAGACCGAGGACUGCGGUUUUUACCUAGGAUGUUGGCAUAAUGAUCUUAAGUCGCCCGUCUUAACCACGGACC
RNAcentral lists this ribosomal RNA (563 nucleotides) under Candida albicans. RNAcentral describes it as "eukaryotic LSU rRNA". It matches the Rfam family "Eukaryotic large subunit ribosomal RNA", at positions 87 to 667 of the family's 3401-position model. Lineage: Eukaryota; Fungi; Ascomycota; Pichiomycetes; Serinales; Debaryomycetaceae. The record is from RNAcentral.